Molecule: small nuclear RNA, 18 nt
Filed under: Arabidopsis thaliana (thale cress)
Lineage: Eukaryota; Viridiplantae; Streptophyta; Magnoliopsida; Brassicales; Brassicaceae
Description: snRNA_12529
Source: RNAcentral
UACGAAUACGAACCGUGA